AACAGCCCAUCGCCCAAUCCGCCGCCAACCUGGCGGACCGGAUAUUUGGCGUAUAGGAGAGACCCUUCCGAGUUCCGACUCCGGUGCAAGUCCCCCUGACUGGGGCUCUUACCCCGAGAGGGUGCAAGGCCCGUAGCUGCCGGAAGGCGGUCCUCGGAUGUCCUCUCCUGGGAGUCGGGUUGCUUGAGAGUGCAGCCCUAAUCAGGUGGUAAACUCCAUCUAAGGCUAAAUACGACCUGGAGACCGAUAGCGAACAAGUACCGUGAGGGAAAGUUGAAAAGGACUUUGAAGAGAGAGUUCAAGAGUACGUGAAACCGUUCGGAGGUAAACGAGUGGGCCCUCGAAGUGAGAAGGCGGGGGGACUCAGCCGAACGCCGUUGCCCGCCGUCGCGUCCGCGCUUCCCUCCCGGGACGCGGUGCGGCGGUUCACGGCUGCGGCGGACGGCGCAUUUCUUCCCGUCCUCCGACGCUGCGACCGGUCGGGCGCGCCACGAGCAGUCGGCCUUACACGCGGGAACUGGCAGGUAGCCGGGACAGCGCAUCCGCGCUGUCUCCGGUGUUUAGCCGUCCCGUUUUCGUGCAGCCGUUCGCCCGACCGCAGGACUCGGCCCUCAGGGGCCCAGCCGUGCCCUCCCCCUUGCGGGGAUCGGCUCUCGGCCCGGAAGGGAGGCCGUCGUCUCUUCCCCGUUUCACCUUAGCGUGGGCGGGGAGCGGCGGCGCCCGUUCGCCGGGUCGUUACCGAGCGGGUGCAGGCGGUCCGCAGCGAGU
This 768-nucleotide ribosomal RNA is filed under the name Icaleptes sp. DNA104053. Its description in RNAcentral is "eukaryotic LSU rRNA". It matches the Rfam family "Eukaryotic large subunit ribosomal RNA", at positions 103 to 631 of the family's 3401-position model. The record is from RNAcentral. Lineage: Eukaryota; Metazoa; Arthropoda; Arachnida; Opiliones; Icaleptidae.